UGGUAAUUAGUUUAACAAAAACAAAUGAUUUCGACUCAUUAGAUUAUGAUUAUUUCCAUAAUUACCAA
RNAcentral lists this transfer RNA (68 nucleotides) under Epomophorus wahlbergi (Wahlberg's epauletted fruit bat). RNAcentral's name for it is "tRNA-Arg". It matches the Rfam family "tRNA". Rfam says of the family: Transfer RNA (tRNA) molecules are approximately 80 nucleotides in length. Their secondary structure includes four short double-helical elements and three loops (D, anti-codon, and T loops). Lineage: Eukaryota; Metazoa; Chordata; Mammalia; Chiroptera; Pteropodidae. The record is from RNAcentral.